Molecule: non-coding RNA, 76 nt
Organism: Ameiurus melas (black bullhead)
Lineage: Eukaryota; Metazoa; Chordata; Actinopteri; Siluriformes; Ictaluridae
Source: the annotation of a GenBank genome assembly
AUGUUUCUGGUGUUAGUGGUUAGCAUGUUCGCCUCACACCUCCAGGGUCCGGGGUUCGAUUCCCGCCGGGGCCAGA